RNAcentral lists this long non-coding RNA (1171 nucleotides) under Triticum aestivum (bread wheat). RNAcentral describes it as "long non-coding RNA (TAES_LNC021730)". Lineage: Eukaryota; Viridiplantae; Streptophyta; Magnoliopsida; Poales; Poaceae. The record is from RNAcentral.
AGACAGGGAACAAACCGACUCUGCCAUGGACAAGUCCAGACCAUCAUCAUCGGCUUGGCCGGCAAAUGACUUUUACUUCAGAGACUCUUGAAUUUGAUCAUGGCCAAGCAAUCUCACAGUAACAAUGAAUUUGAUCAGAGGCAGGCAGAAGAAGAGUUUCAGGCUCGUCUCUGAAUUCAUUCAGUUCAAAGCAAGAAGACAGACAAGUCAAGUUUCAGACUCAACUCUUCUUUUUUCUCUUCAGAGUUGGACCCGACAGGGAACAAACUCCCUCACUUCUCACAUCUCAUAUCAUACAUCGCCAGAAGACACAUAGUGACACUGAUAUAUUUGACCCAAGAGUCAAACAAGAACGACACCGACACUACCAGACUAACUUCGACUGGACACGCAGCGACCAACAACCACUAGAACUCACUCACCCAUGGACGCACACGACACUGCUCAUCUUCUUCUCCUCCUGGUUGGAAUGAAAUGAGAUUCUUCAAGAGAUUCAGUCCACCUCCUCCAUCUUGCUCUCCUCGGCACCCUCCUCCUCCAGCGCCGCCAUGUCGGCGUCCUCCUCCUCCGCGCCAUCGGCGGAAUCGUCGAUGUUGAGCCCGAGCUUGAGCAUGCGGUGGAUCCUGGCGGCGAAGGUGUUGGGGUCGUCCAGGCUGAACCCGGAGGUGAGCAGCGCCGUCUCGAACAGCAGCAUCACCAGGUCCUUGACGGACUUGUCGUUCCUGUCGGCGUCGGCGCGCUUGCGGAGCUCCUCCAUGAUGCCGUUCUCCGGGUUGAUCUCCAUCGUCUUCUUGCUCGACAUGUAGGCGCCCAUGCUGCUGUCCCGCAGGGCCUGCGCCUUCAUGAUCCGCUCCAUGUUGGCCGUCCACCCGUACUCGCCGGUCACCAGGCAGCACGGCGAGUCCACGAUGCGGUCGGAUACAACGACCUUCUCCACCUUGUCGCCGAGGAUGUCCUUGAUGGUCUUGCAGAGGCCCUCGAACGCCGCCUUCUUCUCCUCCCUGCGCUUCUUUUCUUCUUCGGUUUCUUCGUCGAGCUUGAGGCCCUCCUUGGUGGCGGACACCAGCUUCUUGCCGUCGUACUCCUUGAGCUGCCCCACGGCGUACUCGUCGAUGGCGUCCACCAUGAAGAGCACCUCGUAGCCGCGCCUCUUGAGGCGCUCCAGGAAGGG